GAUGAACGCUGGCGGCGUGCCUAAUACAUGCAAGUCGAGCGAACAGAUGAGGAGCUUGCUCCUCUGACGUUAGCGGCGGACGGGUGAGUAACACGUGGAUAACCUACCUAUAAGACUGGGAUAACUUCGGGAAACCGGAGCUAAUACCGGAUAAUAUAUUGAACCGCAUGGUUCAAUAGUGAAAGACGGUUUUGCUGUCACUUAUAGAUGGAUCCGCGCCGCAUUAGCUAGUUGGUAAGGUAACGGCUUACCAAGGCAACGAUGCGUAGCCGACCUGAGAGGUGAAUCGGCCAACCUGAACUGGAGCAACGGCCCAGCCCCCUAGGGGGGGCGGAAGGGGGAAUUUUCCCCAAAGGGGGAAAGCCCUAACGGGCCAAGCCCCGGGGGUGAAGAAGGUCUUUGGGUUGUUAAACCCUUUUAAUUGGGAAAAAAAAAAUGGGAAAGAAACCAUGCCGUUUUGAAGGGUACCUAAACAAAAAGCCACGCUUAACUCCUG
RNAcentral lists this ribosomal RNA (496 nucleotides) under uncultured bacterium. RNAcentral's name for it is "partial 16S ribosomal RNA". It matches the Rfam family "Bacterial small subunit ribosomal RNA", at positions 28 to 506 of the family's 1533-position model. The record is from RNAcentral.